ACGAAUGAUCCUGGGAGUCUUUUCAAGAAGGCUGAGAGUGAUGUAUAUCAGACCAGUAACCUGAUCAGCGUAAUGGCUGCGGAGGGAGAUCUAUAUAUGAUGGC
This 104-nucleotide non-coding RNA is filed under the name Alkalibacterium sp. 20. RNAcentral describes it as "TPP riboswitch aptamer (THI element)". It matches the Rfam family "TPP riboswitch aptamer (THI element)". From Rfam's summary of the family: Vitamin B(1) in its active form thiamin pyrophosphate (TPP) is an essential coenzyme that is synthesised by coupling of pyrimidine and thiazole moieties in bacteria. RNAcentral also lists the same sequence under 1 other name. Lineage: Bacteria; Bacillati; Bacillota; Bacilli; Lactobacillales; Carnobacteriaceae. The record is from Rfam by way of RNAcentral.